Molecule: ribosomal RNA, 253 nt
Filed under: uncultured bacterium
Lineage: Bacteria
Description: partial 16S ribosomal RNA
Rfam family: Bacterial small subunit ribosomal RNA
Source: RNAcentral
UACAGAGGUCUCAAGCGUUGUUCGGAUUCAUUGGGCGUAAAGCGCGUGUAGGCGGUUCGGUAAGUCUGCUUUGAAAGUCCAGGGCUCAACCCUGGGAUGCCGGUGGAUACUGUCGAACUAGAGUACGGAAGAGGCGAGUGGAAUUCCCGGUGUAGCGGUGAAAUGCGCAGAUAUCAGGAGGAACACCAAUUGCGAAGGCAGCUCGCUGGGACGUUACUGACGCUGAGACGCGAAAGCGUGGGGAGCGAACAGG